RNAcentral lists this ribosomal RNA (411 nucleotides) under uncultured bacterium. RNAcentral's name for it is "bacterial SSU rRNA". It matches the Rfam family "Bacterial small subunit ribosomal RNA", at positions 358 to 769 of the family's 1533-position model. The record is from RNAcentral.
GGAAUAUUGCACAAUGGGCGCAAGCCUGAUGCAGCGACGCCGCGUGUGGGAUGAAGGGGCUACGCCUCGUAAACCACUGUGGCCCGGGACGAAAAACGCCUUAGAGGCGUUAGACGGUACCGGGAAAGUAAGGGUCGGCUAACUCCGUGCCAGCAGCCGCGGUAAUACGUAGGUCCCAAGCGUUGUCCGGAUUUACUGGGUGUAAAGGGUGCGCAGGCGGAUGGGUAAGUCAGGGGUGAAAGUCUGCAGCUUAACUGUAGAAUGGCCUUUGAUACUUCUCCUAUUGAGAGGGAGAGGGGUCGAUGGAAUUCCAGGUGUAUCAGUGAAAUGCGUAGAUAUCUGGAAGAACUCCAGUGGCGAAGGCGGUCAACGGAACCAUAACUGCCGCGCAAGCACGAAAGCGUGGGGAGC